Molecule: non-coding RNA, 143 nt
Organism: Gossypium arboreum
Lineage: Eukaryota; Viridiplantae; Streptophyta; Magnoliopsida; Malvales; Malvaceae
Source: Rfam
UGUUAAAAAUUUUAUCUAUUUUUACUAUUAAAAAUUAGAAUGGUUGAUAGAAUAAUUAGACAGAUAUACGUGACCUACUAUUGGUAUCUCAUUCUAACAUAUGGAGACCAAUUUGUAAUAGUAAUAGAUGAAAAUUUUUAAAA